Molecule: long non-coding RNA, 3080 nt
Organism: Vespula vulgaris
Lineage: Eukaryota; Metazoa; Arthropoda; Insecta; Hymenoptera; Vespidae
Exons: 4
Source: RefSeq, a predicted model, not a curated record
CCUCGCGAUGUAUCUGCCAAAGAGGAUGCCGCUGAGGACGAUGAGGAGCACAGUGGAGGACACGUGUGACCUCCACGACGACGCAGACGAGAUGUCGCCGCAUUGAACUGCAAACAACAACAGGAACAAAUAUAUGAAGUGAGGUUAACCUGCCAAGAGACAGGAUGCCGAUGCGAGGCUCUCGGACAUGAUGCAAGAUGACCCGUCACAGAAAGUUCUCUAUCUCCGGUCGUAGCAGCGGAUGCACUGUAAACGAGGCAAUAACGGCCGACGUCGGUACUCGCCACCAAGUAAGCCGUGUCGUUCUCGAUCCAGGUUCCGUGACACAAAUACUCUGAAAAAGAAAAAAAGAAAAGAAGAAAAGUAAAAAAGGAAAAGAGAAAGAAAGAAAGGAAGAAAGGAAGAAAGGAAGGAAGAAAAGAAACGAGAAAGCGAGACGAGUAGAAAAAAUUAUCGACUUUUUUCUUGCCAAGAUAAAAAGGGGUUGAACGAGGGAUAGAACGAUGAUAAUGAUGAUUAAUUAACGUUGGAUCAUUCGCGGAGACAUGCAUUUCAAAACGUACAAGUUAAAGAGAGCUUCAAAUACGAUUUAAGAAGGUAAAAACAUUCUAACAAUUCGGUUCGCUGCAAAAGGGCGGACGUAUUCGACGACUCGAAAAGAUAGCAAAGUCGUAAAUCGUUCGAUAUGGGUCGUGACAAUUCGAGCGAGUACACCUGAUCGAAGUUGAGACUCUACGAAGGGAAAAUUUACAGCGUGGCUCAUCGAAUCUCUUACUGUCUCUCUCUCUCUCUUUCUCUCUCUCUCUUUCUCUCUCUUUGUUUUUCUUCUUCUCGUUUCUUUCUCUAUUUCGCUCUUUUUUUCAUUCUUUUAUUUUAUCCUUCUAUUUCUAUCGGUACAGCACUCUUUCAGCUUUGUGUACGUAGAAAAUCGGUAUCCGCAUCGUUCGAGAAACUAAUAACGCGGUUCACCUUAUUUCUCUCUCUCUCUCUCUCUCUUUCUUUUUCUUUCUCUUUCUCUUUCUCUUCUUCUUCUCUUUCUUCUUCGGCUUCUUCGUCUUCUUCGUCUUCCUCUACUUCUACUCUUUCCAUCUCGAGAACCGUAAGAAACUUAGAUCGAUAGAAAUGUGCAGCUAGAGUUCUCUCUUCAUGGCUCCCAUCGAGUCUAGAUCCACAUUCGAUUUUAUCCAAGGGUAGAAGCUGUGCGAAGAACAACUUUCGCCAAAGCCGAUAUUUGUUGAACGGUCGAGAGUAGUAGCCGACGUUUUCAUGGACGGGAAAACUCCUCGUAAUUGAAAAGUAGAAGAGCUGGAUGAAAUUUUCAAACUGGACAAACAACAACAACAAACUCGACCGCGUAUCUAUGUAAAAAGGAUAAGAGCAUUUAUGAUGAUGAUAAUAAUAAGGAUCACGAAGACGGAUGAGUCUGAUAAAAAAAAAAAGAAGAAGAAGAAACAAGGUACAUCGAAACUUCCUCGUAACGUUCUCAUAAAGUAAAAUACAUUUGGGAAUUGUUAAAGCGAUUCGAGAAAAGUUUAUUAAAAUGAUCUUUUAAAACGUUGAGAGAAAAGAAAGAAAGAAGGAUACAAAGAUUGGUUUGUUUACAAAAAAAAAAAAAAGAAAAAAAACAAAAAAAAAAGAAAGGAAGAGAAUCUAAAAAUAAUUCGAUCGGAGUUGACACAUAAAAGGAGAACAAACGAGACCAGCCGAAAAAAAUGAAAAAAGAAAAAGAAAGAAAGAAAGAAAAAGAAAAACAGGAAAAUCAGGCUAGCGAAUGAGGAUCAAACGAAGAUUAUCUACAAGAUCUUAGAUCCUUCUCCCUGAUUGUUCGCUUCAAGAAUCGCUUGAAAGAAAAAUGUUGUGUUCUAUUAAUGCGUUAGAGAGAAAGGCGACGAUGUAACGCGAUAACCAUCGUAGUAAGCAAGACGAUUAAAAUUGAUUAACUCGACUUCCCAAGUCGAGUUCCCUUUCUCUCUCCCUCUCUCUCUCUCUCUUUCUAAUUCUCUUUGUUUCUCCAAAGCGCGUACAACGAAGCGACGAAACUAAUUGACCGAUACCCUUUUGGAGUUCGCCUCGACGUGCUUACAACUAAAUAAAGCGAGAACUCUCUUGCGAGGAACGCGCCGACGCGUAGAGCUUAGCGAAGCCGUCACGCCAGCGCCUUUCCUUCGACUAACUAUCGUUGCUCUCUCGAUAACUUUACUUCGAAGUAAGAGUCAAGUCAGAGAGAGAGAGAGAGAGAGAGAGAGAGAGAGAGAGAGAGAGAGAGAGAGAGAGAGAGAGAGAGAGAGAAAGAGAGAGUGAAAGAGAGCGAGAGCGAUAGAUAGAUAGAUAGAUAGAUAGAUAGAGAAAGAGGGUGGUUAUGCUUGAGGGUGAAACGGGUCGGGACAAGGGGUGUGAGCUGGAGCGAGUAAUCCGAUAAGAUGUUCCUGGCGGACGUGUUCCACAGUCAUAGUCGAACUCUUCCUUCUCACUCGAGCUUCUGUGGUGUCUGAUCCAUCCAACCAACGUCGAAGUAAGUACGAGCAAAAGUGUACAAAGAAAAAGGAGAAAGAGAAAAGAGAUUCGAGGAAGGGCGGUAGAUGGAAAGGGAGCUUUCUCCAUCGAUUCCACCGACUCUCAACGUCAUACGUCCUGCGUCGUAAUAUCACCCUUCUUCCUCUUCCUCCUCUCUUUUCCUCUCUCUCUCUCUCUCUCUCCCUUAUCCUCUUUCUCUGAUACCCCUUUCAAUACUCGGCUUGUUAACGUUUACGACGCUCUCAGACAAACCUUCAAACCUACUUCGAUCUUCGGCAAGUAUCUAUAAAGGAUUUUCAUAUUCUUAUCUCUCUUUGAUUAGUAUUUUACGACCGAGGAGUCACGUAAGAGAAUCUUUUGUGUAAACGUUCGAGAAUUCCUUGUAAAUAAUGAUCAAGAAGAAUAGAGAGAGAUGGGGGGAGGGAGGGGGACAAGAGAUUGUUGAUGGUUUGUUCCACUCGACGAUAUAUUUAAUUAAGAAAAUAUCUUAGAGUUAAUUGCUCGUGUAAACCCUGCUAACGAAGAUUAAUGCGAAGGAUAGAGAAUAGUAAAGGAUCUUACCGGAU